UUUUUUGAAAGGGUGCUUUUAUGAGAUAGAGCUUUUUUAGAUAAUGCUUUUUUAGAUAAUGCUGGGGAAGGUUUUCCGGUUUAUCUCGGAGGGCUUGUAGCUCAGUUGGUUAGAGCGCGCGCUUGAUAAGCGUGAGGUCGGAGGUUCAAGUCCUCCCAGGCCCACCAAUUUACCUAUCCAUUUGCCUUUAUCUGUUUAUUUGCCGAUUUAUCGGUCCAUUGAAUUUAAGUGUUGGUAGCAGUUUUAUAAUGAUGAGAAAUCAUGCUUAUAAAAGAACUCCUUAUAAAAGGCUUGUUUUUAAAAUGUGACGCUUAUCCAUUUCGCUUAGGUAAGAGAAACUUCAAGCGGUUCAAAUACAAAAGGCUUUAAGUUUUGCAAAACACUUUGAAUUUUGCAAAACACUUUGAAUUUUAAAGUGAUCCAAGUUCGUGAUCUCGAAUUUAAAAGUUUCGAAUGCUUUAUCCUUUUUUGGGGGCCGUAGCUCAGCUGGGAGAGCACCUGCUUUGCAAGCAGGGGG
This 517-nucleotide unclassified non-coding RNA is filed under the name uncultured Bartonella sp. RNAcentral's name for it is "partial 16S-23S ribosomal RNA intergenic spacer". The stretch from base 91 to 164 matches the Rfam family "tRNA". The record is from RNAcentral. Lineage: Bacteria; Pseudomonadati; Pseudomonadota; Alphaproteobacteria; Hyphomicrobiales; Bartonellaceae.